This 301-nucleotide ribosomal RNA is filed under the name uncultured bacterium. Its description in RNAcentral is "partial 16S ribosomal RNA". It matches the Rfam family "Bacterial small subunit ribosomal RNA", at positions 509 to 809 of the family's 1533-position model. The record is from RNAcentral.
CAGUCGCCGCGGGAAUACGAAGGGGGCUAGCGUUGUUCGGAUUUACUGGGCGUAAAGGGCGCGUAGGCGGACUGAUAAGUCAGGGGCGAAAUCCCAAGGCUCAACCUUGGAACUGCCUUUGAUACUGUUUGUCUUGAGUUCGAGAGAGGUAAGUGGAACUGCGAGUGUAGAGGUGAAAUUCGUAGAUAUUCGCAAGAACACCAGUGGCGAAGGCGGCUCACUGGCCCGAUACUGACGCUGAGGCACGAAAGCGUGGGGGGCAAACAGGAUUAGAUACCCCGGUAGUCCCUGUCUCUUAUAU